UCUUAAAAGCUUUAUAUUUUAAAAGCUAGAAGACCUGGAUGCUUCAUACUUUGUAUAUAGAUGCCUUAUGUUACGAAGUUUCUGUCUGUCAUAUGUCCAAUGUCCUUGACCUCAUUUUCAUGGUUCAGUGACUACUUGAAAAAAAAGUCAAUAUUUUUUGUAAUGUUAAUUUCUUUCUUAUUAUGAGUAAUAGGAUAACUAUAUUUAGUAUGUGCGUACCUUGCAAGGUCCUCAUGCCCAUCAGACAAUUUUCAUUUGACCUCGACCUCAUUUCAUGGAUCAGUGAACCAGGUUAAGUUUUCGUGGUCAAGUCCAUAUAUCAGAUACUAUAAGCAGUAGGUCUACUAUAUUUGGUAUAUGGAAUGAUUGUAAGGUGUACAUGUCCAACUGGUAGGUGUCAUGUGACCUUGACCUCAUUUUCAUGGUUCAGUGGUCAAAGUUAAGUUUUUGAGUUUUGGUCUUUUUUUCUAAUACUGUAUGCAAUAGGUCAACUAUAAAUGGCGUAUGGAAUGAUUGUAAGGUGUACAUGUCUAGCUGGCAGGUGUCAUCUGACCUUGACCUCAUUUUCAUGGUUCAGUGGUCAAAGUUAAGUUUUUGAGUUUUGGUCUUUUUUUCUAAUACUAUAUGCAAUAGUUCAACUAUAUUUGGUGUAUGGAAAUAUUUUAUGAUCUAGAUGUCAGUCAUGCAGGUUUUAUUUGACCUUGACCUCAUUUUCAAGGUUCAUUGCUCAGUGUUAAUUUUUUGUGUUUUGGUCUGUUUUUCUUAAACUAUAAGCAAUAGGUCAACUAUAUUUGUUGUAUGGAAGAAUUGUUAGCUAUACAUGCCUGCCUAGCAUGGUUCAUCUGACCUUGACCUCAUUUUCA
Mytilus californianus (California mussel) is the source of this 863-nucleotide long non-coding RNA. RefSeq lists it as uncharacterized. The record is from RefSeq and is a predicted model, not a curated record. The transcript has 2 exons. Lineage: Eukaryota; Metazoa; Mollusca; Bivalvia; Mytilida; Mytilidae.